This is a long non-coding RNA of Macaca mulatta (Rhesus monkey), 1961 nucleotides long. The record is from Ensembl. Lineage: Eukaryota; Metazoa; Chordata; Mammalia; Primates; Cercopithecidae.
AGUUGGGGGCGGGACCGAGGGCCGCCGAGCGCAAGGAGGAGACUGAGGAGCAGAGAAGUAACAGCGGGUAAUGUUUCAAGGGAUGACUAAGAGAAGAUGUCAGCGGACUUGAAGAGCUGUCAGCUCCAUUAGGGGAGAUGAGCGAAGGCUGACUCUCUGCCAGCUGCAGUUCCCUCUGCCUGGAAUGCUGUUCCCCCAAGACCCCAGGUGGCUCCUUCUCCAUCUUGCUCCGAAGUCUUCUCCUGAGCGGUGAGGCAGAUUUCCUGAUGAGCACGGCUCCCUUCUCGGAAGCACUUUGUCUCCUGUACUAGAACGCCAGCUCCACAAGGGCAAGGCGGUUGUUGAUCUUAUUUCUCUCUGUCCCCUCCUAUCUGACACUGUGCCUGGCACAUGGUGGAUGUUCCCAGGAAGUUUCUGGAAUGAGCAGAUGUCUGGGUGUUUCAUUCUCCCAACAGCUGCAAGAGAAGGACUCUAAAGACCCCAUGGAAAGAUGGGCUCUGAGGGUUACAGUGCUGGCCAGAGGUCCCAUAGCCAGGACCUGAGCUCAUUCUGCACAUGAUGCGCUCCUUCUUAACUCAUCACACCCAGCAGCAGACCCAAGGCCCUGGGACCAUGAGAACUGCCUCUGCCCGGGGAAGACCAGCUCACCUGGUCUUCAAGCCCCCACUGCCCUAGCCCGGGGUCGGUUACCUGCACGGCACCCCUGGACAAGGAAGCUCUGGGCCUACCAGCUGAGCUAGAUCUGUCAGCCCUUUUGUUUUUAGAAGCUUCUGGGGGGCCUUGUGGCCAGGCGUUGAAACAAAGGUGUCUGUGUUUCCCUAAGUCCAUUUGGAUUUCAUCCUACUUGCGUUUCACAGGAGGGAAAAUCUACAUUUUUCAUCCAAGAUGAUGCCUUAUCUGACAAGCAUGUGCUGUGAUGGGACUGUAGGUGCUGUGGCUGAAAGGCACCCCCAGGUCUAGAGAAGAGGUUGUUUCAGAUUCCCCUGUGAGCUGGAAGUGGUGGGAGGAGAGCAGGCUUCCUUAUCCCAGUGUCAUGACCAGGCCAAGCCAGCCCUGCACCCUCUUCACCAAGGCCCUGCCUAGCUCUGCUCCCAGGGUGGGCUGGGCUGGGAAACAAGUCAGGGGGUCCAUAGUACAGCUGGGGGCCCCUCCUUCAGGGGAAAGGCACAAUCGUGCUUCUCAGGAACCAGCUUCAGAUGGAGCCCAGAGGGGCGGGAGGGAGGGGACUGGUCUUCCCUCCUACCACACUGGCAUUCUUUCCUCAAAACCUUGCAAAAUAUGACUGUGCGGCUCCCUGCUGUGGCCCAGCACUUGUGGCAUCAUUGAAAUGCCAGUAGGGGCUGGCACCGGGCCGCCCACGGCCCCAGCAGGCACUGUCCCUGCUGCCCUGGGCUAUGAGGAGCCGAGCGGGUGGGCCCCUCCCACUUCGUCUGAGGCUCAAGAAUGCUGUCAUCUGGCCACCCACAGCUUUAUCAGUGUGGCCUUUCUCAGGAUCACUGGGACAAAGGGCGUGGGCGUCUUCAGGACUCUGGGGGAUUCUGGGAAUGUCUCCGCCUUCCCAAAUCGCCAGUUCCCGGAGCAGGACAGGAACCUCACCCACCUCCUUACUAAAGGAGAAACUGAGGCCCAGAGCGGGGUAGGGACUUGUCUGAGGUCAUGCCUGCUUUGUUGGUGAGAAUUGGACCUUAUUUACCAUUUCUGGGUCACAGGCUCCUUUGACAAUGUGAAGGAAAUUCUAGACCAUUACUCCGAUGCCCAAGGGCCAGGCCUGCAGUGUCGAUGGCUGGUAUGGCCUGCUGAGCAUGGGCUUUGUCUGGAGCCCAUGUCCCCCACCUCUGGCUCACUGUGGCCCUGCAGGGCACCCAGUCGUCCAGUGUUUCAGAGGAGCCAAUGAGCCAUCUUUCUGUGUGAAAACUACUCAUGUUCAAAUGUUGGCAAUGCAUUAAAAAUGUAAAACUAGG